This 489-nucleotide ribosomal RNA is filed under the name Kaindipsocus sp. KY283. RNAcentral's name for it is "partial 16S ribosomal RNA". The stretch from base 367 to 489 matches the Rfam family "Bacterial large subunit ribosomal RNA", at positions 2473 to 2596 of the family's 2925-position model. The record is from RNAcentral. Lineage: Eukaryota; Metazoa; Arthropoda; Insecta; Psocodea; Psocidae.
GUCUUUUUAUAAAAAUAUAAAGUCCAAUCUGCUCACUGAAUAUUUAAAGAGCCGCAGUAUCUUGACUGUGCAAAGGUAGCAUAAUCAGUAGUUUUUUAAUUGAAAACUUGUAUGAAAGAUUAGACAAGAAAUCUAUUUUCUUUAUUUUUUAUAUUGAAUUUUAAGUUUAAGUGAAAAUGCUUAAAUAUUAUUAAAAGACGAGAAGACCCUAUAGAUUUUUAUUAUUUAAAUGAGUUUUAUAUUUUUAUUUAUUAUGAUAAUUUAAUUGGGGCGAUUUUAUAAAAUUAAAAACUUAAAUAUUUUUAACCAUAGAUGAUUGAAUUUUUUGAUCUAAAAAUUUUAAAGAAAAGAUUAAAUUACCUUAGGGAUAACAGCGUAAUUUUAUUUAAGAGUUCAUAUCUAUAAUAAAGGUUGCGACCUCGAUGUUGAAUUAAGAUAAUUUAUUGGAGUAGAAAUUAAUAUAAUUAGUCUGUUCGACUAUUAAAUUCU